This 484-nucleotide ribosomal RNA is filed under the name uncultured bacterium. RNAcentral's name for it is "partial 16S ribosomal RNA". It matches the Rfam family "Bacterial small subunit ribosomal RNA", at positions 29 to 507 of the family's 1533-position model. The record is from RNAcentral.
AUUGAACGCUGGCGGCAUGCUUUACACAUGCAAGUCGAACGGCAGCGCGGGCUUCGGCCUGGCGGCGAGUGGCGAACGGGUGAGUAAUGCAUCGGAACGUGCCCAGUAGUGGGGGAUAGCCCGGCGAAAGCCGGAUUAAUACCGCAUACGACCUGAGGGUGUAAGCGGGGGACCGAAAGGCCUCGCGCUAUUGGAGCGGCCGAUGUCGGAUUAGCUAGUUGGUGGGGUAAAGGCUUACCAAGGCGACGAUCCGUAGCUGGUCUGAGAGGACGACCAGCCAAACGGGGACUGAGACACGGCCCAGACUCCUAAGGGAGGCAGCAGUGGGGAAUUUUGGACAAUGGGGGCAAACCUGAUCCAGCCAUGCCGCGUGCGGGAAGAAGGCCUUCGGGUUGUAAACCGCUUUUGUUCGGGAAGAAAUCCUCUGGGCUAAUACCCCGGGGGGAUGACGGUACCGGAAGAAUAAGCACCGGCUAACUACGUG